CUUCGCCAAACCGCCAGCACUCCUCCUCCUCGCGCGCUCUCUCUCUCCUCGCGCUGUCUCUCUCGUCCCUCUUCUUCUUCGCGCGAUGCCACUGCACGCGCAGCACCGCCGAGACCCAGCCACCACGCCACACUGCCGUCGCUUCUCGCUGACCGCCGCUGCUGCUCGCCGUUCACCGGAGCCGACGUCCCACCUCUACCGGAAUUUUCGUCCUCCCUGCUCCUAGUAGCAGAGAUUAAGGAAGAUAAAGGAUAUUACAAGCCUCCCCCGGCUAUCAAGGUUAUUAAGCAGGAAUCCAGGUACCGAUGGUGAUAACGGGAUGGCGUAGCAGUGAGGAUUUAAUUAAUAUCUAGAUUAUCUAGACUCUCAUGGUUUUAAUUUAAGUUUAUGUCAAAACUCUGAUUAGUAACUAAGUUUCUAUUAAUCAAGACUAAUGUUGGAUCUAUAUUAUGCUUCAUGUUAUAAAUGUUUAAGUUUAUGAUUU
Long non-coding RNA from Beta vulgaris subsp. vulgaris (sugar beet), 484 nucleotides. RefSeq lists it as uncharacterized. The transcript has 3 exons. NCBI's taxonomy places the organism in Eukaryota, Viridiplantae, Streptophyta, Magnoliopsida, Caryophyllales, Amaranthaceae. The record is from RefSeq and is a predicted model, not a curated record.